AAAGUUUGACAGACAAUCGCCGGCAGCUUUAAGACUGCGGGAGGAAAGUCCGGGCUCCAUAGGGCAGGAUGCUGGAUAACGUCCAGUCAGCGCGAGCUGAAGGAUAGUGCCACAGAAACGGACCGCCGAUGGCCUGUACGCGUACAGGCACAGGCAAGGGUGGAACCGUGGUGUAAGAGACCACGAGCGGUACUGGUGACAGUACGGCUGGUAAACCCCAUCUGGAGCAAGACCUAAGAGAACACAGCGGCUUCGCGCCGCGGCUUUGGCACCGAAGCGUGUUCGGGUUGGUCGCUUGAAUUUUUCAGCAAUGGAAAAUCUAGAUAGAUGAUUGUCGCCUAACAGUGGGAGGGUCGUUCCCGUUCGGACCACUUCAGGUACAGAACCCGGCUUACGGCAAACUUUCCGU
This 409-nucleotide RNase P RNA is filed under the name Paenibacillus roseus. RNAcentral's name for it is "Bacterial RNase P class A". It matches the Rfam family "Bacterial RNase P class A". From Rfam's summary of the family: Ribonuclease P (RNase P) is a ubiquitous endoribonuclease, found in archaea, bacteria and eukarya as well as chloroplasts and mitochondria. Its best characterised activity is the generation of mature 5'-ends of tRNAs by cleaving the 5'-leader elements of precursor-tRNAs. Cellular RNase Ps are ribonucleoproteins. Lineage: Bacteria; Bacillati; Bacillota; Bacilli; Caryophanales; Paenibacillaceae. The record is from Rfam by way of RNAcentral.